UGAGGAAUAUUGGUCAAUGGACGCAAGUCUGAACCAGCCAAGUCGCGUGAAGGAAGACGGCCUUAUGGGUUGUAAACUUCUUUUGUUGGGGAAUAAAGUGCGCCACGCGUGGUGUUUUGUAUGUACCCAACGAAUAAGCAUCGGCUAACUCCGUGCCAGCAGCCGCGGUAAUACGGAGGAUGCGAGCGUUAUCCGGAUUUAUUGGGUUUAAAGGGUGUGUAGGCGGUUUAUCAAGUCAGUGGUGAAAGUUCGGGGCUUAACCUCGAAAUUGCCAUUGAAACUGGUAGGCUUGAGUACAGUGGAGGUAGGCGGAAUUCGUAGUGUAGCGGUGAAAUGCUUAGAUAUUACGAAGAACUCCGAUUGCGAAGGCAGCUUACUAUACUGUAACUGACGCUGAGACACGAAGGCGUGGGUAUCAAACA
RNAcentral lists this ribosomal RNA (422 nucleotides) under uncultured Bacteroidales bacterium. RNAcentral describes it as "partial 16S ribosomal RNA". It matches the Rfam family "Bacterial small subunit ribosomal RNA", at positions 355 to 774 of the family's 1533-position model. Lineage: Bacteria; Pseudomonadati; Bacteroidota; Bacteroidia; Bacteroidales. The record is from RNAcentral.